AUGAAUGUCUCCCACCUGCACAGUUGAGAAACCUGUUGCUGGACUCUGAGUAACCUCACAAAGGUCAGAGCUGUGACCUAAAAUAAUUUCUUUUAACAAAUCUGGUGUUAGCUAAAUACAUCAGUAAACAUACACAUAUGCUAGAAUAUAUAUAGUUUUUUUAAUAGAUAUGUUAUAUUGCUAUAUUCUAUUAAACUUGAAUUUAUUUCAUUCCCACAUUUUUUCCUUUCCUUUAUGAUAUAUGUAGAUAUUAUAAGGAA
This 260-nucleotide long non-coding RNA is filed under the name Bos taurus (domestic cattle). RNAcentral's name for it is "long non-coding RNA NONBTAT024233". The record is from RNAcentral. Lineage: Eukaryota; Metazoa; Chordata; Mammalia; Artiodactyla; Bovidae.